AAGUGUAAAAUUCAUAUAAUUUAUAUUUUUAUUUAAUUAAAGAGUGAAAUCUAAUAAGUGUCAUUAAAAUUAUAAAAAUAGUUAAGGGUUAUAAGACUAUAAAAUUAAGUUAUAAAAUAGGAUUAGAUACCCUAUUAUACUUUUUAUAAAUGUAAUUUUUCUUGGGUAGUAAAUAGUUAUGAUCUCGAAACUUAAAGAAUUUGGCGGUGUAUAAGUCCAGUUAGAGGAAUCUGUAUCAUAAACGAUAUACCACGAGUAUCUAGCUUUAUUUUGUAUAUAACCGCUUGUAUACCUCCAUUAUCAGAUAAUUUUUAUAAAAAUUUAUUGAAAUAGGAUACCCUAGAAUAUUAGGUCAAGGUGCAGCUUAUGGUAAAGUAGAUUAUGGAUUACAAUAUUUAGUAAAAGUAUUAUGGAUGAGGUUUGGAAGAUAAUCCUUUAAAAGUGGAUUUGAAUGUAAUUAAUGAAAAUUAAUCAUUAUUGAUAAAGGCUCUUAUAUAUGUACAUAUCGCCCGUCGCUCUCGCUUU
Molecule: ribosomal RNA, 525 nt
Filed under: Vexillipar repandum
Lineage: Eukaryota; Metazoa; Arthropoda; Malacostraca; Decapoda; Alpheidae
Description: partial small subunit ribosomal RNA
Source: RNAcentral